This 98-nucleotide non-coding RNA is filed under the name Idiomarinaceae bacterium. RNAcentral's name for it is "TPP sequence". It matches the Rfam family "TPP riboswitch aptamer (THI element)". Rfam says of the family: Vitamin B(1) in its active form thiamin pyrophosphate (TPP) is an essential coenzyme that is synthesised by coupling of pyrimidine and thiazole moieties in bacteria. The previously detected thiamin-regulatory element, thi box was extended, resulting in a new, highly conserved RNA secondary structure, the THI element, which is widely distributed in eubacteria and also occurs in some archaea. The record is from RNAcentral. Lineage: Bacteria; Pseudomonadati; Pseudomonadota; Gammaproteobacteria; Alteromonadales; Idiomarinaceae.
AUGUUACCAAAGGGGUGCCGAAAGGCUGAGAUGCAAUCUGCGAACUCUUUGUACCUGAUCCGGUUAAUACUGGCGUAGGGAUUGGUAAGCAACACACC